GCAAUCCUUCCUUUAGAAAUUGAAAGAGGAGGAGAGGAGGAGAGACCCACAGUUGAUCUCUGAGAAGUGAGUAGCUGGAGGCACCAGGAUACCAGCCAAGCCUAAAGGAUAAAGCAAAUCCCUGGACAUGGCUUUUGAUUCCAAGCUAAGAAGUGCAAGUGGAGUACUAUGACAUAGACACGGAUGCCAGACAACGGAAGAUCAAAUGUCACCUUUAAUCUGGAAUCCUACAUUGGACACUGGACUAGAAAAACAUUUGUGGAAAAAGUAAUGAAAUUCAAAUACGGUUCCAUGGAUUAGCUAAUUGUAAUGUAUUAUGAAUCACCUGCUUUCUAUCUUUGUUCUGUGGUUAUGUAAAAAGUUAACAUUAAAGAAAGCUGGGGGAGAACAUACAGAAAUUCUCUGUAUUAUUCGUGCAAAUUGUAGGUCUAAAAUUAUUUCAAAAUUAAACUUUUUAAGUUAAACAUCUCCUUGAUUGCUGAUAAAGUCGAU
RNAcentral lists this long non-coding RNA (492 nucleotides) under Homo sapiens (human). RNAcentral describes it as "HSALNT0322481". The record is from RNAcentral. Lineage: Eukaryota; Metazoa; Chordata; Mammalia; Primates; Hominidae.